Molecule: non-coding RNA, 1176 nt
Organism: Cucurbita pepo subsp. pepo (vegetable marrow)
Lineage: Eukaryota; Viridiplantae; Streptophyta; Magnoliopsida; Cucurbitales; Cucurbitaceae
Source: RefSeq, a predicted model, not a curated record
UUCGCGCGCUCUCUCUCGCGUCAGGUUUUACCUUUCUUCAAUCUUCCAUCUCCAAGGUCUCCCCCUUAUCUCUGCUCAUUCAAUUCCCUUUCAGAUUCAAUCGCCUCGCCAUGGCGGAGUGGCAGAGCUUCUCCAAACCGCCAUGGCGGAGUUGUCAAGUUGAUCUCUGUAGUUGUCUCUUUUAAAGAAGACAACCUCUCUACGUCUCGUACUACCGCUAUUUCCAUUCAGGAAUCCGCCGGAGGAGCUUCGGCAUCAAGGUAAUCGAAAGCGACCUGGCUGUUUUCCGGUCGGGUUCGGGAGAUUUCGGAUUGGCGCACGAACAUGGUAGUGUGAGGAAUGGCGGUAUUGGUGGGAGGGAUUCCGAUGAUGAUGAUUGGGAAGGGGUGGAGAGCACCGAAUUCGAUGAGCUCUACAGCGCCGCAACUGCAUUUGUGGCUGCAUCUGCUUUCUCCCAAGGUCUCCAAUGAAGUACGGUUGCAAAAUUACAUUGAUGUCGUUACCGAGUGAUAUCCAUCUUGGUUGGUUAGUGCAAGUGGGGAAGGACCACAGUGCAUUGGGCAUUGGAUCGUGGGGGCAUUCUAAUGUUGUGGAGCUGCUUGUUAGCAGGAAUGCUGAUAUAGAUGUAAAGGUACCUAGAACACAUUUAUAUUCUAUUUACUGAUCAAGAUCAUCUGCGGGGUUUUCAUACCAACCCGAGCCCAAGUCUUUACUCGGUGGUAGCUCUUGCCCGUGCCACGUUUCUUAUUGAGCGUGGACUAAUAGUAUUAGACAGAAAUGAUUAUAUCUUAAUUAAGGAAGUUGAUGGCCAAACUCCAUUGCAUUAUGCCAUUGUUUGUGAUAGAGUAGCGAUCGCUGAAUAUCUUGUCAAGAACAAUGCCAGCAUUAAUGAAAAAGACAAUGAUGGAAAGUGGCCUUGUGAUCUUUGCGAGUUUAACUGGCCUUUCAUGGUCUUAGUGGGAAAGUAGAGAUUAUUUCUCACGUCCCUUUUGAAUGUAAAUACUCCAAUGCAUGGCCCCUCCCAACAGCUUCAUUAUAGAUAGUUUCAGAGUACUUAUGAAGUUUACCUGUUUCAUAUCAAAUGCUGAAGGCUGCAAUAGUAUCUAUCUCAUUGUUAAUAUUGUUAUUUAGGAAAUGAAUGCUAUGAAGUGGAAAAUGGUGCCUUGACUUUAUGUA